GAUAUGAUUAUCUGAUUAUCCGUCUCCCUGAUCAGGCCCCCGGCGCCAUGAGGGGAGAACGGGGUCUGUUGAUGACUCAUUGCUGGAUCUAGCACUUAGUGCAGGGGCCGAGGGGCGAGCAGGACAAGAAGAGACCAUGGACCCUUCCGGCUUGGCGAGUGGCCCGUGGGAAGCACAUGGAGAGUCCUGCUCACUGGACAACUGGUUGGUGACUCCCUGACCACGACAGGAGGAGCACAGAGACCAGGGAUACCGCAGGAUAGAGCCAGAGUCAAGGGCCUUGAACGCCUGGAUGAAGGCCCAGAUCUGAGCUGGCGGCCAGAGGAAGCCACUCUGUGGAACCUAAGAGGCAACAUCUCCCACAGCCUCCCACGGCCGGGCCCCAGCCUCUGCCGGUCCCUGAGGUCUGCUCCUCGGGUCACAUGCACCUGUGUAAGCAAGAGCUUUCAUUUUCCUUGGCUGAUAGGAGCUGGCUGGGGUGAGGGAGGCUGGAUUGAUCACCAAGAUUCUCUGGUAUUAUCUCCCUCUUGCCAGUUUUACUUGGGCGCCACGGAUCUGCACGUCUAAAAGCAAAUCACAGUUGGGGAUGGGUGGGGAGGGAGAAAAGGCCAUAAAAUUAGCCUAAGCAAAAAAGAUACUGCAAAGCGAACCUCCUGCUGCUAUGGAAACAACACAAGCCAUUCCAAAGGGAGAAAGAAGUGCGCUGUAGAUGCCCGGCUGGCUGUUUCACUUCCCCUGCACUGCCAGCCCUGCUGCCCUGCACGGGGCCUGGGACACAGAAGGUGCUCAGGAAAAUGUGUUGAAUAGAGUAGAAAAUUCGGCUCUGCCCAAGCACCACCACCACCAGCAUCGCCAGCACCAGCAAACACUGUGGAGCACCAGGAACGGGAGCAAUGACCGCCUCGGUGAGGGGAUAUGGCUGGAGGGCAGAGUGCCAGGGUCAAAGGUCAAAGAAUGGAAUUCCGACUGUUGGAUGGCUGGUUUCAGGAUUCAGAGAAGGGGCCAUGGGAGUAGAAUGCCCCCUCCUGAGAGCUAAGACUGCUGGGAGAGGAGAAACAUGCAGGCCAGCACCGGGGCUACCCAGAGGCAGGCAGACGCCAUCACCUCUGCAAGUCCCUGUCAGAUUGGCUUCUGGGACGAGGACAUCCCCUUCCUCUCCUCCAGCUCUUGGGUCCAGACUAGUGUCCCUCAGCCUCAAGGCACUUAUGAAGCACGUCCUCAGUCCACACCCUGCGCUGCUUCUGGCAUGAGUGGCUCUGUGCGCGCCAGCGGUUUGAAGCCAGGCCCGUUGCCCGGGAGCCGCGGCCACACUGCCCACCUGCCCCAAGUGGACGAGCCCCAGCUCCGCGUGCACUUGCAUGUCCUCCUGAACAGCGGCCCCCAACCUCUUUGGCACCAGGAACUGGUUUCAUGGAAGACAAUUUUUCCAGGGACCGGGGUCGGGUGGC
RNA transcript from Lemur catta (Ring-tailed lemur), 1448 nucleotides. RefSeq lists it as uncharacterized. Lineage: Eukaryota; Metazoa; Chordata; Mammalia; Primates; Lemuridae. The transcript has 6 exons. The record is from RefSeq and is a predicted model, not a curated record.